Molecule: transfer RNA, 74 nt
Filed under: Chlorobiota bacterium
Lineage: Bacteria; Pseudomonadati; Chlorobiota
Description: tRNA-Ala
Rfam family: tRNA
About the family: Transfer RNA (tRNA) molecules are approximately 80 nucleotides in length. Their secondary structure includes four short double-helical elements and three loops (D, anti-codon, and T loops).
Source: RNAcentral
GGGGCCGUAGCUCAGGUGGCUAGAGCGCCGCGUUCGCAACGCGGAGGUCACGGGUUCGAGUCCCGUCGGCUCCA